This 251-nucleotide ribosomal RNA is filed under the name uncultured bacterium. RNAcentral describes it as "partial 16S ribosomal RNA". It matches the Rfam family "Bacterial small subunit ribosomal RNA", at positions 525 to 776 of the family's 1533-position model. The record is from RNAcentral.
UCGUAGGGUGCAAGCUUGUCCGGAAUUAUUGGGCGUAAAGAGCUCGUAGGCGGUUUGUCGCGUCGAAUGUGAAAACCCGGGGCUCAACCCCGGGCCUGCAUUCGAUACGGGCAGACUAGAGUUCGGUAGGGGAGUCUGGAAUUCCUGGUGUAGCGGUGAAAUGCGCAGAUAUCAGGAGGAACACCGGUGGCGAAGGCGGGUCUCUGGGCAGUAACUGACGCUGAGGAGCGAAAGCGUGGGGAGCGAACAGG